UUGGACAGAGCUCUGCAUACCAAAUGAGGCAGCCCUGAGGAACAUGUCCUGAAGCCUUUUUGGUGACAGAAUGUAUGGGCACACUCGGAUGGGGGGAAAAAAAGGAGCUUCCAUUUCAGGAAGUAGCUACUGUGGCAGAUGAGGAGUGCACAGUUGCUUUGUGUGAGUUCGUGUCAGCUUUCACCAGGGCAGUUUGCUACAAAGUCUGUGGGACACUUUGUGGGUUGUUUCCCUGACAUGCUCAGCUGAGAGCACUGUUUGAGGCCAAGGGGUAAGCUCCUGGUCACAGCUGCUCUGGCCUGUGGCAAGGACCUGGCCCAGGGUAUCUGCUGAUGCUCCUUAUGGAUUCAGUGAUCCUUACAUAUCCUUUCCAACUCAGGAUAUUCUAUGAUGCUAUGAUUCUAAGCAUUGAGCCCUUUUGGAAGAAGUUUCUUGCAUGAAACUUCCAUGUCACCCAAUACUGUUCAAAGGCCAAAGUCUAUCUCCAGUUGUCCUGUCUUUUGCUUCUGUUUUUGAGUGGCCAUUGGAGUGAUAUGAGGAAGCAGCAGGGGAUGGGGAACUAAUGAAUGUGCCACCUCACACCAGGCUCUUAUCUACAGAUCUUGGGUUCCAUUAUACCCACCGGAUCCCUGUCCUACCGUACAGCAGCACUGACCCUCCUUGCUUCCUGCAUCUGAACAAAACCAGUUGUGUAUCAGAAAUGGAUGUGCCCAGGUCUGCCAGACCAUGGAUAUCUUCAACAUCUCAAGGCCAGAUGUCUCAGGAUAGCAGGGAGAAGAAGAACAAAAUCCUUAUCUAACAUCACUCCCAAAAUGCCAUGCUCACCCCAGACCAGUUAAUCCCAAGCAGGUGGAUGACCAACAAGGUGAAAGCUGUUGGGGACAAAUCAGAGAAGAACGAAGGGAACAAGAGACAUCAG
This is a long non-coding RNA of Meleagris gallopavo (turkey), 919 nucleotides long. RefSeq lists it as uncharacterized. NCBI's taxonomy places the organism in Eukaryota, Metazoa, Chordata, Aves, Galliformes, Phasianidae. The record is from RefSeq and is a predicted model, not a curated record.